This 71-nucleotide transfer RNA is filed under the name Cordylochernes scorpioides. Its description in RNAcentral is "tRNA-Thr". Lineage: Eukaryota; Metazoa; Arthropoda; Arachnida; Pseudoscorpiones; Chernetidae. The record is from RNAcentral.
GUCCAGGGAUGGGAAUCGAAAACAGUGUUCCGCUUACCGGGCAGAUGCCAUGUCCACUAGGCUACCCUGGA